GACGAACGCUGGCGGCGUGCUUAACACAUGCAAGUCGAACGGUGAAGCGCCUUCCUUUUUGGUGGGUGUGGAUGAGUGGCGAACGGGUGAGUAACACGUGAGUAACCUGCCCCCUUCUUCUGGAUAACCGCAUGAAAGUGUGGCUAAUACGGGAUAUUCUGGGUCUGUCGCAUGAUGGGUCUGGGCAAGAUAUUGUUUCGGUGGGGGAUGGGCUCGCGGCCUAUCAGCUUGUUGGUGGGGUGAUGGCCUACCAAGGCGGUGACGGGUUGCCGGCCUGGGAGGUUGGACGGUCACACUGGGGCUGAGACACGGACAAGACUCCUACGGGAGGCAGCAGUGAGGAAUAGUGCACAAUGGGCGCAAGCCUGAUGCAGCGACGCCGCGGGAGGGAUGGAGACCUGCGGGUUGUGAACCUCUUUCGCCAGUGAAGCAGGCCUGCCUCGUUUGUGGGUGGGUUGACGGUAGCUGGAUAAGAAGCGCCGGCUAACUACGUG
RNAcentral lists this ribosomal RNA (494 nucleotides) under uncultured bacterium. Its description in RNAcentral is "partial 16S ribosomal RNA". It matches the Rfam family "Bacterial small subunit ribosomal RNA", at positions 28 to 507 of the family's 1533-position model. The record is from RNAcentral.